RNAcentral lists this ribosomal RNA (253 nucleotides) under uncultured bacterium. RNAcentral describes it as "partial 16S ribosomal RNA". It matches the Rfam family "Bacterial small subunit ribosomal RNA", at positions 524 to 776 of the family's 1533-position model. The record is from RNAcentral.
GACGGAGGGUGCAAGCGUUGUUCGGAAUUACUGGGCGUAAAGCGCGGGCAGGUGGCCCUUUAAGUCCUUUGUGAAAUUCCGGAGCUCAACUCCGGAUGUGCAUAGGAUACUGGAAGGCUAGAGACUGGUAGAGGCGAGCGGAAUUCCUGGUGUAGCGGUGGAAUGCGUAGAUAUCAGGAAGAACACCGGUGGCGAAGGCAGCCCCCUGGGUCAAGAUUGACGCUCAUGCACGAAAGCGUGGGGAGCAAACAGG